Molecule: long non-coding RNA, 2485 nt
Organism: Crotalus tigris (Tiger rattlesnake)
Lineage: Eukaryota; Metazoa; Chordata; Lepidosauria; Squamata; Viperidae
Exons: 5
Source: RefSeq, a predicted model, not a curated record
CCCUCACCUGGCGGCCGCCGCCACCUGGUUGCUGGCUUAAGCUUUGGGGGGGUCAAAGCAGAACCCGCCAGCCACCCCUGGCUUUUUCAGUCCACGAGCAACGAACCCCCAAAUUGAGUUUUCCCCGCCGGGGCUUUUGGGAAGAGGCAUCUGAAGGGAGUGAGGAUCACCCUGCUAGCUUCCCUUUGAGUCUUCUCUAAGAAUAACAGAGUUGGAAGGGAGCUUGCUGUAGGCUGGGACUACAACUCCCAUGAUCACUUGCUUCAACCAUGAUGUUUUGCGUUCAUAAAUUGUUCAACACAUCUGGAAUAAGCCAGCCUAAGAGCUUUGGAAGUUAAUGUGAAAUUGGAUCAGUUUAUAAUGUCCAACUUCUAAAUAUGUUGGAUAACAAUUCUCAGAUCUGCUGGUGUCAGCUGUUACAAUCCCAGAGAGGCUGUUUCAAUCCUUACACAUUCCAGGAGUUCCCAAGUUUUGUGUUCCGGUCAAAUGACACGCACGAAGGAAUGACUCAAUGUCUGUCAGGAAGCAAGAGGAAAAUUAAAGUUUUCCUGUCUCGCGACACAUGAGUCAGCUUGUUGGCCACAGCAGUUCUCCGACAGCCGGAAAUCCACCAUUACAGAACAUUGUGGCCUCCAGUAAUUGAAUAAUUGACAAUCACAUGGUAUCUUAUUAAACCUGAAGGACGGAAACAAGUACUUACAAAAGGAUCUGUUCUCAGCAUUGAAAUGCAGUUAUCUCCAGGAGAAAUGGAACAGACCUGGACCAACAGGAUAGAACUGGAUCGUGAUCUUGUGCAAGAAUGUUUAAGGAUCGAUCCUGAAGAAGGGUUUUAAUAUUGGGUUAAUUGAUUCAACAGGGAUGCAAGGAUUACCGAAGGGGGUCAGAAUCAGGAUGAAACCAAAUUCUCAAAUGAUUACAAGCAAGUAUUCUCUUAAGCCAAUUUCUGCGUACAAAAAUACAGCGUAUGGCUCAUCUUUAUUAAUCGUUUUAAUGUUUACCACUUUUUAAUGUUUGUAAGCUGCCCAGAGACACCUCUAGAUGACAUGGGCAGCAUAUAAAUCUAAUAAACAGAUGGGGGUAAUGAAAAACUUACACUACAAAGGCAAGAACUGCUAAGUGGAAGGUCUAGAAUAUUCAAUUGCAACAUCUAUAAUUAUACCAGCAACUAAGGCCAUAAUCUUUCUUCUGUAUGAACAGUUGGACAAUGGGCACCACUGAUUUAUGUAAUCCUGUUGAGGUUAAUAUCCCAGCCAGCUUGACUCUUGCUGAGAGAUCUAGGAAUUGAAAUUGAUACAUUUGGAAGUUGGGAAUGUAGAUGACCAGGCUGAGCCAGCUCACCUUAAACACCUCUCUUAUCACCCUUUUCCGUUAAUAGUUCAGAUUCUUAUAGAGAGCUUAAGCUUACAAUAAAUCUUUAUACACAUUUGGAACUGCAUGGAUCUCUUGAUUUCCCUGGUCCUUGACAGGGAAACUAUCAACGCUUAUUCUGUUUUCUCCGAUAACUUGUGUCAAAAAAAAAAAAUCUGGAUUGUUUUUCCCUCUUCCUUUUUAGAACCUGCUCUCCCUCUUCCAGACUUACUGUAAAAUGCAUCCAUCUUUCUGUAGGCGUUUUACCUCAUUCCUUAGUUGCAUCCAUUUUACACAAUCAGCGUAAAGAUGAGAGAUUAUUUGUACAUCCACAUUCCCAUCUUUCUGUAUUUGCAUAGACAAAGGUCUGCCCAGGUUACAAUCUCAAUUAUUUGCACUUCACACAUUAAAAAGGCCAGUGAAGGUCAAUUUUUGCAUUCGGUGAAGGCAGACCUCUUUUAGCAACCAUCUGCAAUUACAACACUGAUGAAAAAAAGUUAACUUUGUGACCAGUUCUCAUACUUAGAACUUUUGCAGGUCUGUAAAGCAAAGAACAGCUGAAGUAACAUCGUAAGCAACUAGUGUCACAAGCCGCUUGUCCCAAUUGUGGCGGCUAAACAAGGACUGCCUGUACUUCAUGGGAAUUUCAGUGAUGUAAGUAAGUAGAAUGGCAACAUCAGACUCUUAAUGAGACUCUGUUCCUUGUAUUCUUACAUGUGAGAUUUUAAAAACAAAUGAGCCUAAUAAAUGCCAACAUUUCUACACUGGUUUUUACUCAGAACAUUUAUAAAAACCUUUUACAGGAAAAAUGUAUGCUGAAAUUUACAAAAUUAGCCCUGGGAGUCUCUCUGAAGGACAAACUGAAUUUAAAGCAAUCUCUUUGGCGUAGCAUUUCCUGCAUGACAUGAAACCAAUACAAUUAUUUUGAGAAUUGACUGAAAACAUCUUUAUUAUUCAGCUCUAUGUCCGCCCCCGCCUUGCAAUUACAACCACACAACUAAAAUAUAUUUUUGUAAUCUGGGAUUAGUCCAAGUACAGUCAACAAAAAAAAAUAGGACAGGCAUACAAAGUCUGUACACAAACUCAACAUGGGGUACACAAUCUGCAAUGAAGUUAGACAUCAUACAAAAUAAAAAAA